This 3059-nucleotide long non-coding RNA is filed under the name Homo sapiens (human). RNAcentral's name for it is "HSALNT0092735". The record is from RNAcentral. Lineage: Eukaryota; Metazoa; Chordata; Mammalia; Primates; Hominidae.
AUUGGAUGAAGUCACAGAAAACCAAAAGAACAUUUUUUUCUUAUUCCUUUUUUUUUUUUAAUGUGAUAAGAAAUCUGGAGACAGAUGGUGGAGGGCAGAUACUGUGGCUCACAGUGCCAACUGGGAGCCAGCUGCUAUGUCUUCCUGUGCACUCACCCUUAGCGUGUGGAUUUUGACCUAUGCUUGCUGCCUCAUGGACACAAGAUGGCCACUCCACUUCCGCAUCACAUUUGGGCAAAAGGGAUAUGCUGACUGAUUGCUCCUUUUUUACACAGCUUUCCUGGAAGUCCUUUUCAGUGCCUUCCAUGUAAACCUUGUUGGUCAGAGCCAUCUUAUAUGCCAGGUUUGAACAGCAUGGGUACAGUUAUAUGUGGAUUUUCUUCUGGCUCUGCCAUCCGUGAAACAGCAAGACCAACCCCUCUCUUCCUCAUCCUCCUCAGCCCACCCCGCUUGAAGACAUUGACAUUGAAGAAUUUUAUGAUGAUCCACUUUCACUGGACAAAUGCUGAAAUCUCAACAAAGCAUAUGUUUGCUUCUUGCUCACAUGUCCGAUGCAGUUCAAUAGAAGCUUGCCUCCAUCUGAUGACCUAGGAAUCUAGGCUCUUUCCAUGUUUUAAUACUGCCAUCUCAACAUGUGGCUUUCAAGGUCAUUUUGACUGAGGAAGGAAGAUGUGGAGAAGACUCAGUGGCUCCUAACUGCUUUGACGCAGGUUGUCUCCAGUGCUCUAGUACAAAACAAGAUCAUAUGUUGGCUUUGAGGAGCUCCUGAUCUUUAUUUCUAUGAGGAUACUGCUAAUUAACAAUCUGGCAGGGGGCUUAACUCAGUUACUAGUUUAGGGAUUUCUAUCUGUGUUCUCUGAAUUUUCCAGGAGUGCAGCCUGACACAAGGCAUAGGCCCUGGCAGCAUGAAUAGUAGCUGUCUAGUAGCUAAGGCCCCUCUGCAGGAGAGAUGGGUGCUGGCUGAAACUACGGCACUAAGCCUAGCUAUAAUCUAGGGUGCAUUUAUUCCCUGAUACCUCUCCUAGCAACUAAUCUCAUGGAAGUCUCUACCUGCUUUUAACCACUCAGUUGAAAUCCAUUCAUUAAUUUCCAUUUAUUUUAUGGUGUUUAUAUAUGGAUGUACUUUUAUUAGUUUUUAAGACUAUAUAUUUUUAAGCUUAAAAAAUAUUUUUAUAUUCCCUCUAUGUGUUUGGAGCAGUUAAGGGAGUUGAAAUGCUCAGGGGAUGAAAUAAUGAGUUUAUUGUUUUUGCUUGGUUGGAUGCCGUUGCAUAUAAAAUACUCCACAUAAAUAUUUGCUAAACUAAUUGGUGCUAAGUUGCACUUAAUAUCCAACAUUAUAGUGGUAUUCUACUGAGUUAUUUUUUUCUUCUUACUUUCAGCUUUAUGUAGUAUAUCAAACAAAAAUUAAUGUCUUUAUUAGGGUAACAAAAAUUAAUUUGGGGGGAUAACCUUCAGGCAUCUUUCAGGAGAUAAGACCAUUUGAUGGCAUCUUCAGAACUGAGCUAUGCACAUUUCUUUACCAGCCUUGUUAUUUUGUUUACAUAUUUCCCUGUAGCAAAUAUAAAUAUUAGAGAUUACAUUUUAUGCUAUUACCUUGGAAAUAUCAACUUUCUACUAUUUUCAACUGUAUCAGUAGCAACUCUUGUCUCCUGAUGGUAGGCAAGGUAAAACUAUCUUUAGACUAUGUGGACAAACUCUUAUUUGAACUGAGUUUUAUUCUUUGAUCAAUCAACAGAUUGAUGUCUCUCAAUGUCAAAAGUCUCACAAAACUUCAAAGACAUAUAGCACCGAGUUUGAUCUUAAAAAUACAAAAUAAAAGGUUUUUUAAUCUUAGGAAUAAGUCCUGUUUUUUAUCUUAUAUACUAGUGAAUUAAAAAUAUUAUGAGAGCAUGCCUAUAGGCCAUCCAAAUUAAAAAAUGAAAUUGAAAUUAAUUAAAAAGUAAAAAGCUCUUUUAGGAGAAUGCUAACUCAUAAAUGUUACAAGGUAGAAAAAUAAUUUUGUAACCAUAAUAGUAAUGUAAGAAAUACCAGACAAGAAACAUCAAUGGAUAUUACACUUAGUGGGUAAACGUUUAAUGGGAAACAGGCUAUUUAGAGUGUGUCAAAAUAUUUUCUUACAAAUUAGUUAAUUACUAAGGGAAUAUAGAGUAACUUUAUGAUGGGGAAAUCUAUUAGACACCCCCUUAACCAGGUGGCGAAAAUUUAAAUCACCAAUAAAAGAACAAAUGAAUGUCAUCCCUGAUAUGAUACACUGAGAAGGACACAUUGUUUCUGUGCUAUUCUUGCUGACGUUACAUAACCUGCAACUAAUCAUGAGGAAAAAUUAAACUCAAGCUGAGUUUCAUUCUACAAACUAUUCCCUGUAUUCUGUAAAAAAUGUCAAGAUUAAGAACCACGAAGAAAGGUUGAGAAACAAGUCCAAACAAAUGAGACAAAGGUGACAUGACAAUCAAUUGCAGUGUGUGAUCCUGGACUGAAUCCUGAACCUGGAGGAAAAAUAACUAUUAAAUAAUUUGAAGACAAUUGAAAAAAACUUAGUAUGACUGUGAAUUAUAAGAUAGCAUUAUAUCAAUUUUAAUUUCCUGAUUUUAAUCAGUGUUCUGUGUUUAUAUAAGAUAAUCUUAUUGGUCUGAGGAAUACACUGGGGUGUUAAGGGGAAAAAGGUAUGAUGUCUGAAAUUUACAACAGUUUAGUAAAAAUGUAUAAGUAAGUGUGUGUGUGUGUGUGUGUAUGUGUGUGUAGAUGGAAAGGAAAUGAAUGAUAAAGUAAAUGAGGCAAUAUGUAAACAUUUGUGAAUCUGGGAAAAGGGUAUAUGGAUGCUCUCUAUAGUAAUCUCACAACUUUUCCUAUGCUUGAAAUUGUAUUAAAGCAAUAUGUUACCUCAAAAAUAUUUGCAUUAAGAUGCUAAACAUUUAUUCAAAAAAUACUGCAAAGAAAUUAAUACUUUUGCUUAAAUCAAUUUUGGGACACUAAAAAUAUUGCCUUUAAGUAUAAUUUGCCACUUCAAACACACACACAUAUACUACUAUAGGCAUAUUUCAUUUUCUCGUGCUUUGCUU